GUGUUUGCUUCGGCAGCACAUACACUAAAGUUGGACCAAUGCAGAGAAGAUUAGCCUGGUCCCUGCGCAAGGAUGACACGCAAAUUCAUGAAGCGUUCCAUAUUUAA
This is a small nuclear RNA of Pteropus vampyrus (large flying fox), 107 nucleotides long. The record is from Ensembl. Lineage: Eukaryota; Metazoa; Chordata; Mammalia; Chiroptera; Pteropodidae.